UACGUAGGGGGCAAGCGUUAUCCGGAAUCACUGGGCGUAAAGGGUGCGUAGGCGGCUUAGUAAGUCAGAGGUGAAAGGCUACGGCUUAACCGUAGUAAGCCUUUGAAACUGCUGAGCUUGAGUGCAGGAGAGGCAAGUGGAAUUCCUAGUGUAGCGGUGAAAUGCGUAGAUAUUAGGAGGAACACCAGUGGCGAAGGCGACUUGCUGGACUGUAACUGACGCUGAGGCACGAAAGCGUGGGGAGCAAACA
This 250-nucleotide ribosomal RNA is filed under the name uncultured bacterium. RNAcentral describes it as "partial 16S ribosomal RNA". It matches the Rfam family "Bacterial small subunit ribosomal RNA", at positions 524 to 774 of the family's 1533-position model. The record is from RNAcentral. RNAcentral also lists the same sequence under 1 other name.